GAUGAAGAACGCAGCGAAAUGCGAUAAGUAAUGUGAAUUGCAGAAUUCAGUGAAUCAUCGAAUCUUUGAACGCACAUUGCGCCCCUUGGUAUUCCGAGGGGCAUGCCUGUUCGAGCGUCAUUAUAACCCCUCAAGCUCAGCUUGGUGUUGGGGCCUGCCGCACGGGCAGCCCUUAAAAUCAGUGGCGGUGCCAUCUGGCUCUAAGCGUAGUAAUUCUUCUCGCUAUAGAGUCCCGGUGGAUGCUUGCCAUUAACCCCCAAUUUUCUAUGGUUGACCUCGGAUCAGGUAGGGAUACCCGCUGAACUUAAGCAUAUCAAUAAGCGGAGG
RNAcentral lists this unclassified non-coding RNA (327 nucleotides) under soil metagenome. RNAcentral describes it as "partial contains 5.8S ribosomal RNA, internal transcribed spacer 2, and large subunit ribosomal RNA". The stretch from base 1 to 120 matches the Rfam family "5.8S ribosomal RNA", at positions 35 to 154 of the family's 154-position model. The record is from RNAcentral.